This 1554-nucleotide long non-coding RNA is filed under the name Homo sapiens (human). RNAcentral's name for it is "HSALNT0222470". The record is from RNAcentral. Lineage: Eukaryota; Metazoa; Chordata; Mammalia; Primates; Hominidae.
GGCCGAACCCCUCUCCCGAUCUCCUGCAGGUGCAGAUUCCAGGUUUCCAGUGGGUGUCAGUGUGGGCUCCAGAGCUCUCCUGGUCCUAGGGAACCCUGGGCUCCAUGAGGCCUUCGCCUAGCCAGAUUGUUUCCCACACUGUCACCUCCCCACCCUGUCACCUCCCCAAACAUGGGGCUGCAUGCUCUGUGCCCUGGGUGGGACAUUGGAAGGAGUGCCACCUUCCAGGUUUGGAUCACAGUAAAGCCUCUGCCAUGGGGAUGUGCUGGCCGAGACAGAUGGGGUUGAACCAGUCAUGAUAUGUUGGCCUUGGGCAAGUCAUCUGUGCCUUGCUUCCCUUUCCCCAGCAGCCAGAAGGGAUAAUAGCACCUAUUUCACCCAUACUCAAGUGUUCAUUUGUUAGCAGGAACUGAGUCCCGGAGGAGGUGCAGGUGGAGCCAUUGAGGCAGCACUGCAGCUGGACCUGGGUCUGAGUCCCAGCUCCUGGCUGUGAUAUGCAUCACUCUCUCCAUUUAUUUAUCUGAAAGACAGGGCUGUGCUGUUCUGGGGUCACUGUGAGAAUGCAACUGGCCUGUGUGAGUUGGUGGUGGCCUCCUGUGAUAGCUUGAGGUGGGCUGGAGGUGUGUCUUGAAUGCCCCCUCACCCCCAUGGGGAAGACCCACUUAGGGAAGACUCAAGUGUCUGUAUGGAGGAACCCACAUUCCCUGCCCCUCAGCUGUCCUCUGUCCCUUCCUAGCCCCCUCUGCUGUCCUGCAGGCUCUGGCGGUGGCCAUCCAGCUUGGUGGCCAUCUGGCUGAUCCACUCCUCCAGGUGGACCCUCUGUCCUCAUGUGGUGCAGGUCCCAUUGUGCCACCUCCAGACAGGCCAUGCUAGCCCCAGGGCCUCCGUUCCCUGUUACCCAGCCCCCACCCCCAGGUACGUGCCACCUCCCUAAAGCCCACUGUGUCCACCAGCUGUGUUUCAACUCUGUCUCUGAGCAAGGCCUAACGCAAAGCCUGAAACAGCCUGGCUUGUAGAGGGCCAGGAGACCAAAGCUUGAAGAGAGAGUGACGGUCUCCCAGAGCCCACUUAGCCUCAGCCCCAGGGCUGUGUCCAUGCUGUUCCUGGCUCCAGUGAGCCAAUUCUCUCCCCUGACGCCCGUAAGGGCUCCAGUGGUGAUGGAGGUAGCUGGAGAGAACAAGGCUGUCUUAACCCUCCCUCCCUGAGAAGGCCCAACGGGGAACGUUUUAGGCAUCAGGGCAUUCUGGGGGGCAUCUUCCAGGGACCCCUCCUAUACCCUGCCCUGCCCUGGCUCUCUAGUGAGAAAUUGCAGUUGCUUGGACAGUGGGGCUGACCCAGGACAAAUGCAUAUAUUGGGCUGGUCUUCAGGGUGCUGGGGUAGGGGCAGGGGCACUUCAGGGAUAGGAAGGAGGGGCCUGUGUGUUCCAGAAGUACAGAGGAACCUGGUGCCGGCCGCCGUCAACCCCUAUGUGAUGAUCUUUCUACCCGCCCUCUUUCGUGUCUUGGUGCUGGCUGCUGUCUUUGGCCAGGCAUACAAAAUGUGCCUACCAGGAC